UAGUUGUCACCUCUUUCCGAACUCUCUACGAAACCCUAGCCGGACGCGGUGCUAGCACACCGACCUACGUCACUUCAUCCCUAUACGUGUGGAUACUGUGAAAGUACUGCUGCCGUUGUUGUGGUGCUGAUCAGCGAUAAGGACACUACAACGUGAUCGACUACUUCGUCUUUAUGGAUGCACACGACUCCUCUUUUACUGCACUGCACGUCUAACAGUAAUGAUCCAUGAUCCCCUACUCGUAUAGUUUCCUGAUUAAACACGGUAAAAAAAUUUGAUUUAUUCUAACACAGCCUACCCGUUCCCCAACAUCUUCGAGCUUUACUUGUCACUCACCGUACACAAAUUUUGGUUUAGAGUUAUUUUGGAACUGAAAGCUGAACAAGUGUAGUCAUGACAGUAAGAAUUAAUAAGAAACAAUGAGAUGGAGUAAUGCAAUGUGACUGGCUGACUUUCUUGCCGUAAACAUUGUUGUGAUCAUUUAAUGCACAUGCAGUUAUGCCACGGCUACCAUGGUUUGAUCAUUUAAUGCACAUGCAGUUAUGCCACGGUCCGUUUCUGAAUUUUUCCAUUGCAUUUAUAUGAUUUAUAUGUUCUAUUCCAGGGCUACCAUGGUGAUACAUCCGCUACAUUUCUCUGUGGUGAUGCUGAUGACGAAGCUAAGAAAUUAGUUCAGGUAACAGGAGAAUGUCCUGACAAGGCUAUAUCAAUCUGUGCACCUGGGGUGGAGGUCAAACGUAUUGGUAGAACUAUACAGUAUGUAAAUGAGAAGGAUCAUGCAGACAAAUUCAAGUUCAGUAUAGUUCGACAUUUUGUUGGCCAUGGGGUAGGAGAAUUGUUUCAUGAGCUUGUCGUGCUUCAUUUCCGUGAGUUCUUCACUCCGGCAGAACAUCUUUUACUUCAUGCUGCCUUGAGCCCAUGCUAACCGUGGGAAGCAUAGACCCUGUCAUUUGGUUCGAUGACUGGGCAGCAGUCACGGAAGACAGCAGCUUGUCGGUUCGAGCACAGGAUACUGUUUAUAACCGAAGAUGGCCCUGAAAUAUUGACAGUGUUAACUGGAGGCCGAAGAACAAAAACGAGCAAUCAAUCGGCUGGAGAGAUCCUUCGAUUUUUUUUGGACUACUUGGUCCAACCCAAACCCUGAUGCAGAAUGGCAAACGCACAUUGUGGUCUUGUUUUUUUUUUUCUUUGAAAGGAUGAUCUCGGUUAAUUGGUACGAUGAUAUAUAGAAGUUCUGUACUACCUUGAGGUUAAACUUGAAGCGUAUGUUCUAUUGGUGUUUGGUUAAAGACUUACAGUUGAUCA
RNA transcript from Phragmites australis (common reed), 1305 nucleotides. It is a transcript of the gene named methionine aminopeptidase 1D, chloroplastic/mitochondrial-like, with no coding region annotated. The transcript has 4 exons. The record is from RefSeq and is a predicted model, not a curated record. Lineage: Eukaryota; Viridiplantae; Streptophyta; Magnoliopsida; Poales; Poaceae.